RNAcentral lists this ribosomal RNA (261 nucleotides) under uncultured bacterium. RNAcentral's name for it is "partial 16S ribosomal RNA". It matches the Rfam family "Bacterial small subunit ribosomal RNA", at positions 29 to 292 of the family's 1533-position model. The record is from RNAcentral.
AUAAACGCUGGCGGCGUGCUUCAGGCAUGCAAGCCGAACGAGCGACCCGGCUGCGGGAAGCGAGUGGCGGACGGGUGAGUAACACGUAAGCAACCUGCCCAGAAGUGUGGAAUAAACCCACCGAAAGGUGAGCUAAUACCGCAUGUGGUGGUCCUUCCCUGGAGGGAUCACUAAAGGAGUAAUUCGCUUUUGGAGGGGCUUGCGGCCGAUUAGCUAGUUGGUGGGGUAACGGCCUACCAAGGCGACGAUCGGUAGCUGGUC